GGAAAAAGAGUUUUGCCUCCUCUGGAUUUUAAGAAAAAGCUUCCUGGCAUAUGGAAUCCUGCAAAUGGGAUUUUUAUGUUGUAUUUACAGCUUAAGUCCUACUCUUUCUCUAAGUUAACUGCUUCUGCCUGCCUCAAGGAAACAAAACACUUCAAAGAGGAAACAAGGAUGUACACAUUCAAGGCUUCAUCGCAACCAUUAGGUAGAAGCCCUAACAGCAUUUCUGACCCUCUCUGUAAGAGAUGCUUUCAAGGAGGAAAGUCACAGCUCUGAUGAAAUCAAAGGCUCCAGAGCAAACAGGCAGCCUGGGAACCCCUGGUGAUUAUAGAAAUGAAGUAAACCACUUCCCCUGUACUUACAAAGGUAAAGUCAAAAACACCGUACUGUGGACUAUAAGAAUAGGUACUAUCUAACUGUUCUUAAAUUAUAUGAUUCUUAGCUUCUUUAAACAAACAAACAAACACACAUAUUGCAGAAGAAGAUAAAAGAAAUACACACUCUGCAGUCAAAGAACUGCACACACAUGAAAACCUCAAGCAAACAAGGCAAUGUUUGACAUGUAAAAAACCACAGUAGGUAUUCCUGAACGGUCAGGUACUCCUUCUACCCUCACUGGACAUAAACAACAGUUCUGUCCCUCUGAAGGUAAUCUGCU
This 655-nucleotide long non-coding RNA is filed under the name Numida meleagris (helmeted guineafowl). RNAcentral describes it as "lncRNA (ENSNMEG00000018636.1)". The record is from RNAcentral. Lineage: Eukaryota; Metazoa; Chordata; Aves; Galliformes; Numididae.